CCUACGGGGGGCUGCAGUGGGGAAUAUUGCGCAAUGGGCGAAAGCCUGACGCAGCGACGCCGCGUGAGGGAUGAAGGUCUUCGGAUCGUAAACCUCUGUCAGCAGGGAAGAACGGUCACUGUGCUAAUCAGCAGUGAAUUGACGGUACCUGCAAAGAACGCCCCGCUUAAUUCCGUCCCAGCAGCCCCGGCAAAACGGAGGGUGCGAGCGUUAAUCGGAUUUACUGGGCGUAAAGCGCUCGUAGGCGGUAUGUCAAGUCAAGGGUGAAAUCCCCGGGCUCAACGUGGGAACUGCCUUUGAAACUGGCAAACUGGAGUGUGUGAGAGGAUAGUGGAAUUCCAGGUGUAGGAGUGAAAUCCGUAGAUAUCUGGAGGAACAUCAGUGGCGAAGGCGACUAUCUGGCACAUAACUGACGCUGAGGAGCGAAAGCGUGGGUAGCAAACAGGAUUAGAUACCCCUGUAGUC
This 465-nucleotide ribosomal RNA is filed under the name uncultured bacterium. Its description in RNAcentral is "partial 16S ribosomal RNA". It matches the Rfam family "Bacterial small subunit ribosomal RNA", at positions 338 to 795 of the family's 1533-position model. The record is from RNAcentral.